AGAGUUUGAUCAUUGGCUCAGGAUGAACGCUAGCGGGAGGCCUAACACAUGCAAGCCGAGCGGUAGAGAUUCUUCGGAAUCUUGAGAGCGGCGUACGGGUGCGGAACACGUGUGCAACCUACCUUUAUCUGGAGGAUAGCCUUUCGAAAGGAAGAUUAAUACUCCAUAAUAUAUUGAUUGGCAUCAAUUGAUAUUGAAAGCUCCGGCGGAUAGAGAUGGGCACGCGCAAGAUUAGUUAGUUGGUGAGGUAACGGCUCACCAAGACGAUGAUCUUUAGGGGCCUGAGAGGGUGAUCCCCCACACUGGUACUGAGACACGGACCAGACUCCUACGGGAGGCAGCAGUGAGGAAUAUUGGUCAAUGGGUGCAAGCCUGAACCAGCCAUCCCGCGUGAAGGACGACUGCCCUAUGGGUUGUAAACUUCUUUGUAUAGGGAUAAACCUACCCUCGUGAGGGUAGCUGAAGGUACUAUACGAAUAAGCACCGGCUAACUCCGUG
Molecule: ribosomal RNA, 498 nt
Filed under: uncultured bacterium
Lineage: Bacteria
Description: bacterial SSU rRNA
Rfam family: Bacterial small subunit ribosomal RNA
Source: RNAcentral